Long non-coding RNA from Oncorhynchus keta (chum salmon), 3263 nucleotides. RefSeq lists it as uncharacterized. Lineage: Eukaryota; Metazoa; Chordata; Actinopteri; Salmoniformes; Salmonidae. The transcript is spliced from 4 exons. The record is from RefSeq and is a predicted model, not a curated record.
GUUUGACUCCAUUUGAUGGCAGUGAGUGAUGGCGAGUAGGAAUGACAAGUAAUUGGCGGACAGCACAUCAUCUGCUGCUGAACGACAGCGCUGCAGCGUGUGGGUCUUGGAGAGAUCUUCAAGAAAACUGCAGAAAAAAAUAUCUGGGCAAAGAUGGAAGAGAGUUUUGAGAUGUUUGAGGAGGAGUUAGGCAGGCCAGAGCCUCCCCCUCAAAAGCCUGCAGACCAGUUCCAGAAAUGUAUGCUAAGGAAAGAAGAAUAACCCUACAGGAACAGACCAUGCCUUCUCAACAGGAGCCUCCAAUCUUGCAGCAGCAAGUCCCCAAGAUAAUGCCCAGAGAACCCAGUGUCCCCGGCAGAAGCAAAACCAUUAAAGGUCGACGGCCUGUGGAGGAAAAGGAGUAUGCUGAUGUGCUGACUGUGAGGCACUCUGCAUUGAGACACAAAGUCCAACCACAGGAGGUAGUGGCACAGGAACAAAAUACUCACCUGUCUCUCCGGGCUCAGAAUCCUCAUUCCCAACAUGGUAUGAAUUACAGGAGAUUUAUUGCAAAGUGCCACUCCUAAGGGCUGCAGUGUGUGCUGGUUUUCAUUUGCACUUUGCAAAUCAGCCACUGCUGCACUGGCGGUUAGCUGGAGCAUCCAAUCAAAUGGCUGGCUUCUCAAGGACAUUUCGGUGACACCGGGUGUGUAUGGAAUCAUACUUCUAUAAUAUUUAGUAGGUAUGAGUAUAUGUGAACAUUUAUUAGGUAGUAUACACAUUCAGUUAAUGCAUACACAUCCAGUGACAUUCAGUGAAAUAAUGUGUAUGUGACCUCUUAAUUCCUCAAAAACAUUUUUUUUAUUAUACCCCUGAAUCAGAGGAGGCUGGUGGGCGGAGCUAUAGGAGGAGGGGCUCAAUGUAAUGGCUGUAAUUAAAUAAAUGGAAAGGUAUCAAACAUAGAGUAACCAUGUUUGACUCGGAUCUAUUUAUUGAUUCCAGCCAUUAUAAUGUGCCCGCACUCAUGUCUCCUCUCACCAGACCUCUGUGUCUCGUCGAUGAUUGAUUGCUGAAGUUUGCAAACAAACUAUAUACUAUACGGAACACAAAAAUAAAUGCAACAUGUAACGUGUUUGUUUCAUGAGUUGAAGUAAAAGAUCCCAGAAAUGUUCUAUAUGCACAAAAAGCUUAUUUCUGUAAAACUUUGUGCACAAAUGUGUUUACAUCCCUGUUAGUGAGCCUUUCUCCUUUGCCAAGAUAAUCUAUCCACCUGACAGAUGUAGCAUAUCAAAAAGCUGAUUAAACAGCAUGACCACCUUGCAGUGGAGACAAUAAAAGGCCACUCUAAAAUGUACAGUUUUGUCACACAACACAAUGCCACAUAUGUCUAAAGGUUUUGGGGGACCGUGCGAUUGGCAUGUGAUUGGCAUGCAUUUCUUUACCAUAAGCCACCUCCAAUGUCAUUUUGGAGAAUCUGGCAGUACGUCUACCUUGCCUCACAACCGCAGACCACGUGUAACCACGCCAGCCCGGGACCUCCACAUCCGGCUUCUGCACCUGCGGGAUCGUCUGAGACCAGCCAUCUGGACAGCUGAUGAAACUGUGGGUUUGCGCAACCGAAGAAUUUCUUCACAAACUGUCAGAAACCGUCUCAAGAAAGCUCAUCUGCGUGCUCGUCGUCCUUACCAGGGUCUUGACCUGACUGCAGUUUGGCAUUGUAACUGACUUCAGUGGGCAAAUGCUCACCAAAUGCUCACCUUUGAUGGCCACUGGCAUGCUGGAGAAGUGUGCUCUUCACGGAUUAAUCCAAGUUUCAACUGUACCGGGCAGAUGGCAGACAGCGUGUAUGGCGAGCGUUUUGUAGGCGAGCAUUUUGCUGACGUGAACAUUGUGAACAGAGUGUGCCAUGGUGGCGGUGGGGUUAUGGUAUGGGCAGGCUGGAUUGACCAGCGUGUUCCAGUUCCCGCCAAUAAUCAACAGCUUUGAAGAGCCAUUGAAGAGGAGUGGGACAACAUUCCACAGGCCACAAUCAACAGCCUGAUCAACUCUAUGCGGUGGUCACAACAGAUACGGACUGGUUUUCUGAUCCACGCCCCUACCUUUUUUUAAAGGUAUCUGUGACCAACAGAUUUAAAUCUGUAUUCCCAGUCAAGUGUAAUCCAUAGAUUAGGGCCUAAUUUAUUUAUUUAAAUUGACUGAUUUCCUUAUAUGAACUGUAACUCAGUAAAAUCUUGGAAAAUGUUGCAUUUUUAUAUAACGUAGUAAUGACCAUUUCCUGUUUCCUCCAGCCUGAGACCUCUUUGUAUGAGGUGUUGUUCUGGUGGUUACCUGACUUUAAUGAGGAAGAUGAUGACAGGGAAACCAAACAAGGUCAAUUGAAGAAGGGGGUCAGAGAGAGGUCCCUGAAGGGCCUGAGAAGCAGGGGAACACCAGAGAGAAUACUUUCCAAAGGCAGAGAAGGGGAGGAAAAGAGGGCAAGGAGAGAGAGGGAAGAAGAAACUAAGCUGAAGAAAAAGGGAAAACAGGUCAAGCUGAGAGGGGAGGAAAAAUAAGUGGUGGAAAAUGGAGGAGGAAGUUAAACCCAUGAUACAAAAGGUUAAGAAAUGAAAAGCCAGCAAAUCAUAGGAGGGAAAAUGGCAUGCAGUCUGAUGAAGAAUUAAGUAAAGGAAUACAACAGUAGUUCUACAUAAUAGUAAAAUAAGGUAACGUUGAUGGGCAUCAUUGUGAACACAUUAUGGGUUCUCUGCACAAAUGAAUGUUCCAACUAUAAUUGCUGCUGGCUCUUUGGCAGCCAUUGCAAGUGCCAGUCAGAAGAGAAGCAUGACUAUUUCCCAGUCUGCCAUGUCUUUGUUGCUUAGAAUAUUGUUCAGUGAUGCCGUUUUGAAAAUGUUGGUUUGUAAUUAUAAAGUUGAGCAAGACGUCUCAUUUGAGUAAUUGUCUGGGUGCUAUUGUAAACCAACAUGUCCUCUAUGCUUGUCAUUUUUCAAUGUAUUGUUAUUUGGACCCUUGAUUGUUGUUACUGUUAUUCCAUUGACAGUAUUAUUAUUUUAAUUGUUAAUGUUGUAAAUCUCCAGAGUAAGCUUUGGCAAUAUGCACAUUGUUACAUCAUGCCAAUAAAGCAAAUUGAAUUGCUUUAUUGGGGACUCUUUGUAGGGACUAUGGGAAUGUUUCAGAUUGCCUAUAACUGCUGGGAAACUGUUACAAAAAAAUAAAAAAUGCAUUAAUCUGAAAUCCUUUUUUUGCUACCCUAAUUGUCAAUAAAGCUUUCCCUGUUAUGUAUCAUA